GGGCCCGUGGCCUAGCAUGGAAAGGCGCCGGCCUGCGGAGCCGGAGAACCCGGGUUCAAAUCCCGGCGGGCCCGCCA
This 77-nucleotide transfer RNA is filed under the name Thermofilum sp. Its description in RNAcentral is "tRNA-Arg". It matches the Rfam family "tRNA". Rfam says of the family: Transfer RNA (tRNA) molecules are approximately 80 nucleotides in length. Their secondary structure includes four short double-helical elements and three loops (D, anti-codon, and T loops). Further hydrogen bonds mediate the characteristic L-shaped molecular structure. tRNAs have two regions of fundamental functional importance: the anti-codon, which is responsible for specific mRNA codon recognition, and the 3' end, to which the tRNAs corresponding amino acid is attached (by aminoacyl-tRNA synthetases). tRNAs cope with the degeneracy of the genetic code in two manners: having more than one tRNA (with a specific anti-codon) for a particular amino acid; and 'wobble' base-pairing, i.e. permitting non-standard base-pairing at the 3rd anti-codon position. Lineage: Archaea; Thermoproteati; Thermoproteota; Thermoprotei; Thermofilales; Thermofilaceae. The record is from RNAcentral.